CUUGGCGACCAUAGCGUUUUUGGACCCACCUGAUUCCAUUCCGAACUCAGAAGUGAAACGAAUAGCGUCGAUGGUAGUGGGGUUUCCCCAUGUGAGAGUAGAACAUCGCCAGGC
Molecule: ribosomal RNA, 114 nt
Filed under: Vibrio vulnificus
Lineage: Bacteria; Pseudomonadati; Pseudomonadota; Gammaproteobacteria; Vibrionales; Vibrionaceae
Source: RNAcentral